Molecule: transfer RNA, 74 nt
Filed under: Dipodomys ordii (Ord's kangaroo rat)
Lineage: Eukaryota; Metazoa; Chordata; Mammalia; Rodentia; Heteromyidae
Rfam family: tRNA
About the family: Transfer RNA (tRNA) molecules are approximately 80 nucleotides in length. Their secondary structure includes four short double-helical elements and three loops (D, anti-codon, and T loops).
Source: Rfam by way of RNAcentral
GGAGGUAUGGCUCAAGUGGAAGAGAACAUACCUCGCAAGUAUGAAAGUCCUGACUUCAAAUCCUAGUACUUCCU